RNAcentral lists this ribosomal RNA (253 nucleotides) under uncultured bacterium. RNAcentral describes it as "partial 16S ribosomal RNA". It matches the Rfam family "Bacterial small subunit ribosomal RNA", at positions 524 to 776 of the family's 1533-position model. The record is from RNAcentral.
GACGGAAGGUGCAAGCGUUGCUCGGAAUCACUGGGCGUAAAGGGUGCGUAGGCGGCCGUGCAAGUCUGGUGUGAAAGCCCCGGGCUCAGCCCGGGAAGUGCGCUCGAAACUGCGCGGCUCGAGUGCCGGAGGGGAGAGUGGAAUUCCUGGUGUAGCGGUGAAAUGCGUAGAUAUCAGGAGGAAUACCGGUGGCGAAAGCGACUCUCUGGACGGUAACUGACGCUGAGGCACGAAGGCCAGGGGAGCAAACGGG